Mytilus californianus (California mussel) is the source of this 4581-nucleotide long non-coding RNA. RefSeq lists it as uncharacterized. The record is from RefSeq and is a predicted model, not a curated record. The transcript is spliced from 3 exons. NCBI's taxonomy places the organism in Eukaryota, Metazoa, Mollusca, Bivalvia, Mytilida, Mytilidae.
GCACUCUAACUUUAGUUUAAGUGAAUGGAUCUCUAUGAAAUUUUACCAUAAGGUUCAAUACCACGAAAGGAAGGUUGGGAUUGAUUUUGGGGGUUAUGGUACCAACAGUUAAGGAAUUAGGGGCCAAAAAGGGGCCAAAAAUAAGCAUUUUUGUAACUUCCAGACAAUAACUUGUGUGUAAGUGUAUGGAUCUCUCUGACAUUGUACCACAAGGUUCCAUAUCACAAAGGAAAGGCUGUAAUUGAUUUUGGGGGUAAUUGCCUCAAAAUUUUAGGAAUUAGGGGCAAAAAAAGGGGCAAAAAACAAGCAUUUUUCUAGUUUCAUGACAAUAACUUGUGUGUAAGUGUUUGGAUAUUUCUGAAAUUGUACUACAAGGUUCCAUAUCACAAAGGGAAAGCUGGAAUUGAGUUUGGGGGUAAUUGCCCGAAACGUUUAGGAAUUGGGGGCCAAAAAGGGGCCAAAAAUAAGCAUUUUUCUAGUUUCCAGACAAUAACUUGUGUUCAAGUGUAUGGAUCUCUCUGAAAUUGUACUGCAAGGUACCAUACCACAAAGGGAAGGCUGGGAUUGAGUUUGGGGGUGAUGAAUUAUAAGGGGGUUCAAAAAAUUUGGGGGGGGAUUUUUUUUAACUUUUUUUUUCUUUUUUUCCUUUUUUUUUUCUUUUAAAAUGUUCCAUUUUAAGUUGGUUAUUUCUGAUUAAUAUUUAAAAGCAAAUAAUAAUGAUAUGGUAGGAGAUACACACCAAACAGGAUGUGUAAAUUAUUAUAUAAUAAGUAUUGUGCAAUAGCAAGAAAUUUUCAAUUGCACAGUAUUGCACAAUAGCAAGAAAUCUUCAAUUGCACAGUAUUGCGCAAUAGCAAGAAAUCUUCGAUUGCACAGUAUUGCGCAAUAGCAAGAAAUAUCCAAUAGCACAAUAUUGCGCAAUAGCAAGAAAUUGUCAAUUGUACAGUAUUGCGCAAUAGCAAGAAAUAUUCAAUUGCACAGUAUUGUGCAAAAGAAGAUACUUCGUAUAAAUUGCUUAUUUCUUGAUCAAUUUCAAUGGGGUUUUAUUCUUGAAUUCUUGGGGUUCUUUAAUAUGCUGAAUCUAACCGUGUAUUAAGUUUUUGGAUUUUGGGCCCCGUUUUUAAAUUGGUCCACAUUGAGGUCCAAAGGGUCCAAAAUUUAACUUUGUUUGAUUUCAUCAAAAAUUGAAUUAUUGGGGUUCUUUGAUAUGCCGAAUCUAACCGUGUAUUUAGAUUCUUAAUUUUUGGUUCUGUUUUCAAAUUGGUCUACAUUAAGGUCCAAAGGGUCCAAAAUUAAACUUAGUUUGAUUUUAACAAAAAUUGAAUUUUUAGGGUUCUUUGAUAUGCUGAAUCUAAACAUGUAUUUAGAUUUUUGAUUAUGGGCCCAGUUUUCAAGUUGGUCCAAAUCGGGGUCCAAAAUUAAACUUUGUUUGAUUUCAACAAAAAUUGAAUAUAUGGGGUUCUUUGAUAUGCUGAAUUUAACCAUGUAUUUAGAUUUUUUGAUUUUUGGGCCCCGUUAUCAACUUUGUCCACAUUGAGGUCAAAAGGGUCCAAAAUUAAACUUUGUUUGAUUUCAUCAAAAAUUGAAUUCUUGGGGUUCUUUGAUAUGCUGAAUCUAACCAUGUAUUUAGAUUUUGGAUAUUGGACCAUAAUAGGUGAAUGUCCAAUUUAAAAUUUUUAAGUUCUUAGACCACAUUCAUUCUGUGUCAGAAACCUAUGCUGUGUCAAAUAUUUAAUCACAAUCCAAAUUCAGAGCUGUAUCAAGCUUGAAUGUUGUGUCCAUACUUGCCCCAACUGUUCAGGGUUCGACCUCUGCGGUCGUAUCAAGCUGCGCCCUGCGGAGCAUUUUAUUUCAUUUUUAAUGCUCUUCAACUUUGUAUUUAAUUUGUCCUUCCAAUUGUUUUGAUUUAUGUGCCACUGAUGAGUCUUUUGUAGACAAAAUGGCCAUCUGUCAUUCCUAAUUAUAUACCUGAUAUCUUUAAUAAGUUUUUGCAAAAGGUUCAAAGAACAAAAGAAAUACUUUGAAGCUAUUGGCCUCCAACAAAUAAAACAUGUGUUGGAAAAUCUAAAGGUAGUAUCACCCUGUAAUGAAUCCGGAUUUUGAUGCCUUUAAAUUGAACACACCUUGUACCACUGAGUUCAGACAGAGGAAAACAUAGUUGCCAACUCACAUGAUAUUUCGCGUGUAAUACAGGAGUAUUUACACUUUUAAGGAACUCCAAUAUUUAUUCUUUGGAAAUUUUGCUUCAUUAUAUUCUAUGCAGUAUAACUCAUUAAUUACUGCAAGGUUUUUAUACGACCGCGAAAAUUUUUGCGGUCGUAUAUUGGUAUGACGUUGUCGUCGUCGUCGUCGUCGUCGUCGGAAGACACAUUGGUUUUCGCACUCUAACUUUAGUUUAAGUGAAUGGAUCUCUAUGAAAUUUUACCAUAAGGUUCAAUACCACAAAUGGAAGGUUGGGAUUGAUUUUGGGGGUUAUGGUACCAACAGUUAAGGAAUUAGAGGCCAAAAAGGGGCCAAAAAUAAGCAUUUUUGUAACUUCCAGACAUAACUUGUGUGUUAGUGUAUGGAUCUCUCUGACAUUGUACCACAAGGUUCCAUAUCACAAAGGGAAUGCUGGGAUUGAUUUUGGGGGUAAUUGUCUCAAAAUAUUAGGAAUUAGGGGCCAAAAAAGGGGCAAAAAACAAGCAUUUUUCUAGUUUCAUGACAAUAACUUGUGUGAAAGUGUAUGGAUCUUUCUGAAAUUGAACUACAAGGUUCCAUAUCACAAAGGGAAAGCUGGAAUUGAGUUUGGGGGUAAUUGCCCGAAACGUUUUGGAAUAAGGGGCCAAAAAGGGGCCAAAAAUAAGCAUUUUUCUAGUUUCCAGACAAUAAAUUGUGUUCAAGUGUAUGGAUCUCUCUGAAAUUAUACCACAAGGUUCCAUAUCACACAGGGAAUGCUGGGAUUGAUUUUGGGGGUAAUUGCCUCAAAAUUUUAGGAAUUAGGGGCCAAAAAAGGGUAAAAAAACAAGCAUUUUUCUAGUUUCAUGACAAUAACUUGUGUGUAAGUGUUUGGAUAUUUCUGAAAUUGUACUAUAAGGUUCCAUAUCACAAAGGGAAAGCUGGAAUUGAGUUUGGGGGUAAUUGCCCGAAACGUUUAGGAAUUGGGGGCCAAAAAGGGGCCAAAAAUAAGCAUUUUUCUAGUUUCCAGAUAAUAACUUGUGUUCAAGUGUAUGGAUCUCUCUGAAAUUGUACUGCAAGGUACCAUACCACACAGGGAAGGCUGGGAUUGAGUUUGGGGGUGAUGAAUCAUAAGGGGGUUCAAAAAAUUUGGGGGGUGAUUUUUUUUUUUUCCUUUUUUUUAUCUUUUAAAAUUUUCCAUUUUAAGUUGGUUAUUUCUGAUUUAUAUUUAAAAGCAAAUAAUAAUGAUAUGGUAGGAGAUACACACCAAACAGGAUGUGUAAAUUAUUAUAUAAUAAGUAUUGUGCAAUAGUAAGAAAUUUUCAAUUGCACAGUAUUGCACAAUAGCAAGAAAUCUUCAAUUGCACAGUAUUGCGCAAUAGCAAGAAAUCUUCAAUUGCACAGUAAUGCGCAAUAGCAAGAAAUAUCCAAUAGCACAAUAUUGCGCAAUAGCAAGAACUUGUCAAUUGUGCAGUAUUGGGCAAUAGCAAGAACUUGUCAAUUGUGCAGUAUUGCGCAAUAGCAAGAAAUAUUCAAUUGCACAGUAUUGUGCAAAAGAAUAUACUUCGUUUCGUAUAAAUUGCUUAUUUCUUGACCAAUUUCAAUGGGGUUUUAUUCUUGAAUUCUUGGUGUUCUGUAAUAUGCUGAAUCUAACCGUGUAUUAAGUUUUUGGAUUUUGGGCCCCGUUUUUAAAUUGGUCCACAUUGAGGUCCAAAGGGUCCAAAAUUAAACUUUGUUUGAUUUCAUCAAAAAUUGAAUUAUUGGGGUUCUUUGAUAUACCAAAUCUAACCGUGUAUUUAGAUUCUUAAUUUUUGGUUCCGUUUUCAAAUUGGUCUACAUUAAGGUCCAAAGGGUCCAAAAUUAAACUAAGUUUGAUUUUAACAAAAAUUGAAUUCUUAGGGUUCUUUGAUAUGCUGAAUCUAAACAUGUAUUUAGAUUUUUGAUUAUGGGCCCAGUUUUCAAGUUGGUCCAAAUCGGGGUCCAAAAUUAAACUGUGUUUGAUUUCAACAAAAAUUGAAUAUAUGGGGUUUUUUGAUAUGCUGAAUCUAACCAUGUAUUUAGAUUUUUGAUUUUUGGGCCCUGUUAUCAACUUUGUCCACAUUGAGGUCAAAAGGGUCCAAAAUUAAACUUUGUUUGAUUUCAUCAAAAAUUGAAUUCUUGGGGUUCUUUGAUAUGCUGAAUCUAACCAUGUAUUUAGAUUUUGGAUAUUGGACCAUUAUAGGUGAAUGUCCAAUUUAAAAUUUUUAAGUUCUUAGACCACAUUCAUUCUGUGUCAGAAGCCUAUGCUGUGUCAAAUAUUUAAUCACAAUCCAAAUUCAGAGCUGUAUCAAGCUUGAAUGUUGUGUCCAUACUUGCCCCAACUGUUCAGGGUUAUGACCUCUGCGGUCGUAUCAAGCUGCGCCCUGCGGAGCAUUUUAUUUUUUC